CAGGCAGGACAGGCUGCAGGCCAGGGGCAAUCUCAGAGAGCCCCGUGGCUUUGCUGCAGCCAGUCUCUUUCUCGAGGUCACUCCUUGAAGAUUGAGAGAGAAUUCAGGUUCAGGUACAUGAGCAUGAGGAGGAGCCUCUCUGGAGUUUUCUCCUUUCCCAGUAAUAAUUUUACUAGAAAACAGACGUCCCUGUUGAGGAGCCAGCCUAAGGAUGAAGACUGUGUUAUUCUUCCACAAUUUGGUGCCGUGACUCGGAUGGCAAACGCCUGGCUGGGACAGCGACAAAUCACUCCAGACCAUUCCCCUUUGAACCCCAUGGCUCCAUAAUAGAGGUCAUUAAUGAAGAUAUUGAACGGCACUGGCCUGCAACACCCUGCUAUAUACACACCUGGUGGAUCAUGAUUUCCCAGUGACAAUUACCUACUAUAUCAGUUAGCCAGUUCUUAGCCAGAGAGGGUUUCAGCCAUUGCACUAAGGCAGCACCCACACACCUGUGAUGAGCACCAGAUCCUGCCCUCCCAGCGCCCCAAAUCUCUAGACCAUCCUGCAGGGAUCCAGCCUCUCCCCAUCCUGCUCAGCACC
Mauremys mutica (yellowpond turtle) is the source of this 582-nucleotide long non-coding RNA. RefSeq lists it as uncharacterized. The transcript is spliced from 3 exons. The record is from RefSeq and is a predicted model, not a curated record. NCBI's taxonomy places the organism in Eukaryota, Metazoa, Chordata, Testudines, Geoemydidae.